This 334-nucleotide unclassified non-coding RNA is filed under the name Bombus terrestris (buff-tailed bumblebee). RNAcentral's name for it is "misc RNA ENSBTSG00005033673.1". Lineage: Eukaryota; Metazoa; Arthropoda; Insecta; Hymenoptera; Apidae. The record is from RNAcentral.
GGUCAUCGGAUUGGUUAGUUUGUGCAUUGGCGGUUGAAGAAGAAUGUCAACCACCCUUGAGAGAAAGUUGUCAGCAGGAAGCAUCGUGCGUGAGAAAAAGCAGGUUUCCCGUAUCUUACCGUAGUAGGUAAUAAUAAAGCUAAAACACAGAUUGUUCAUUUGUUUGGAGGACCUUCGCUAAAAAUCGCAAGGUUUAUAGCGGAUCCUUAGAGUAGCUGAAAAAUGUUCUGUGCGGAAUGCCUCGACAUUUGGUAAUCAUCUUACCGAAGGAUAGGGUCUUUGUGUAGCGAGCCAUGGGACAGAAACCGUUGGAAAAGAUUGCUGUCGAGUGCCG